CCAAUAGCGUAUAUUAAAGUUGUUGCAGUUAAAAAGCUCGUAGUUGAACUUCGGGGUUUACCCAUUGGUCAGGCUUAAUUGUCUGCACUGGUGAGAUGAAUCUCUACCUUCUGAGGAACUUUCAUGCCAUUUAUUUGGUGUGAUGGGAAAUCAGGACUGUUACUUUGAAAAAAUUAGAGUGUUUAAAGCAGGCUAACGUCUGAAUACAUUAGCAUGGAAUAAUGAAAUAGGACGGACUGAUUCUAUUUCGUUGGUUUCUAGGAUCACCGUAAUGAUUAAUAGGGAUAGUUGGGGGCAUUAGUAUUCAAUUGUCAGAGGUGAAAUUCUUGGAUUUAUUGAAGACUAACUACUGCGAAAGCAUUUGCCAAGGAUGUUUUCAUUAAUCAAGAACGAAAGUUAGGGGAUCGAAGACGAUCAGAUACCGUCGUAGUCUUAACCAUAAACUAUGCCGACUAGGGAUCGGAUGAUGUUAAUUUUUUAAUGACUCAUUCGGCGCCUUACG
RNAcentral lists this ribosomal RNA (502 nucleotides) under uncultured Glomeromycotina. Its description in RNAcentral is "SSU rRNA". It matches the Rfam family "Eukaryotic small subunit ribosomal RNA", at positions 591 to 1092 of the family's 1831-position model. The record is from RNAcentral. Lineage: Eukaryota; Fungi; Glomeromycota.